CUGCACUGAUGACAUCUUAGGACACCUUUGAAUGAACAGUGAAACCAAACGUUGAUGCUGAGCGGC
Small nucleolar RNA from Cottoperca gobio, 66 nucleotides. Its record names the gene SNORD58. It matches the Rfam family "Small nucleolar RNA SNORD58". Rfam says of the family: snoRNA U58 is found in introns 1, 3 and 6 of the ribosomal protein RPL17 gene in humans. U58 is a member of the C/D class of snoRNA which contain C (UGAUGA) and D (CUGA) box motifs. The record is from Ensembl. Lineage: Eukaryota; Metazoa; Chordata; Actinopteri; Perciformes; Bovichtidae.